This 1534-nucleotide ribosomal RNA is filed under the name Phocaeicola vulgatus. Its description in RNAcentral is "bacterial SSU rRNA". It matches the Rfam family "Bacterial small subunit ribosomal RNA". Lineage: Bacteria; Pseudomonadati; Bacteroidota; Bacteroidia; Bacteroidales; Bacteroidaceae. The record is from RNAcentral.
UAUUACAAUGAAGAGUUUGAUCCUGGCUCAGGAUGAACGCUAGCUACAGGCUUAACACAUGCAAGUCGAGGGGCAGCAUGGUCUUAGCUUGCUAAGGCCGAUGGCGACCGGCGCACGGGUGAGUAACACGUAUCCAACCUGCCGUCUACUCUUGGACAGCCUUCUGAAAGGAAGAUUAAUACAAGAUGGCAUCAUGAGUCCACAUGUUCACAUGAUUAAAGGUAUUCCGGUAGACGAUGGGGAUGCGUUCCAUUAGAUAGUAGGCGGGGUAACGGCCCACCUAGUCUUCGAUGGAUAGGGGUUCUGAGAGGAAGGUCCCCCACAUUGGAACUGAGACACGGUCCAAACUCCUACGGGAGGCAGCAGUGAGGAAUAUUGGUCAAUGGGCGAGAGCCUGAACCAGCCAAGUAGCGUGAAGGAUGACUGCCCUAUGGGUUGUAAACUUCUUUUAUAAAGGAAUAAAGUCGGGUAUGCAUACCCGUUUGCAUGUACUUUAUGAAUAAGGAUCGGCUAACUCCGUGCCAGCAGCCGCGGUAAUACGGAGGAUCCGAGCGUUAUCCGGAUUUAUUGGGUUUAAAGGGAGCGUAGAUGGAUGUUUAAGUCAGUUGUGAAAGUUUGCGGCUCAACCGUAAAAUUGCAGUUGAUACUGGAUAUCUUGAGUGCAGUUGAGGCAGGCGGAAUUCGUGGUGUAGCGGUGAAAUGCUUAGAUAUCACGAAGAACUCCGAUUGCGAAGGCAGCCUGCUAAGCUGCAACUGACAUUGAGGCUCGAAAGUGUGGGUAUCAAACAGGAUUAGAUACCCUGGUAGUCCACACGGUAAACGAUGAAUACUCGCUGUUUGCGAUAUACAGCAAGCGGCCAAGCGAAAGCGUUAAGUAUUCCACCUGGGGAGUACGCCGGCAACGGUGAAACUCAAAGGAAUUGACGGGGGCCCGCACAAGCGGAGGAACAUGUGGUUUAAUUCGAUGAUACGCGAGGAACCUUACCCGGGCUUAAAUUGCAGAUGAAUUACGGUGAAAGCCGUAAGCCGCAAGGCAUCUGUGAAGGUGCUGCAUGGUUGUCGUCAGCUCGUGCCGUGAGGUGUCGGCUUAAGUGCCAUAACGAGCGCAACCCUUGUUGUCAGUUACUAACAGGUUCUGCUGAGGACUCUGACAAGACUGCCAUCGUAAGAUGUGAGGAAGGUGGGGAUGACGUCAAAUCAGCACGGCCCUUACGUCCGGGGCUACACACGUGUUACAAUGGGGGGUACAGAGGGCCGCUACCACGCGAGUGGAUGCCAAUCCCAAAAACCUCUCUCAGUUCGGACUGGAGUCUGCAACCCGACUCCACGAAGCUGGAUUCGCUAGUAAUCGCGCAUCAGCCACGGCGCGGUGAAUACGUUCCCGGGCCUUGUACACACCGCCCGUCAAGCCAUGGGAGCCGGGGGUACCUGAAGUGCGUAACCGCGAGGAGCGCCCUAGGGUAAAACUGGUGACUGGGGCUAAGUCGUAACAAGGUAGCCGUACCGGAAGGUGCGGCUGGAACACCUCCUUUCU